Molecule: ribosomal RNA, 292 nt
Filed under: uncultured Bacteroidota bacterium
Lineage: Bacteria; Pseudomonadati; Bacteroidota
Description: uncultured Bacteroidetes bacterium partial 16S ribosomal RNA
Source: RNAcentral
GGACUACUGGGGUAUCUAAUCCUGUUUGAUCCCCACGCUUUCGUGCCUCAGCGUCAAUAUAAGUUUAGCGAGCUGCCUUCGCAAUCGGUGUUCUGUGUCAUAUCUAAGCAUUUCACCGCUACAUGACACAUUCCGCCCACCUCAACUUAAUUCAAGACUAAUAGUAUCAAUGGCAAUUUCCGAGUUAAGCUCGGAGAUUUCACCACUGACUUAAAAGCCCGCCUACGCACCCUUUAAACCCAGUAAAUCCGGAUAACGCUUGCACCCUCCGUAUUACCGCGGCUGCUGGCAC